CGAAAACGCCCGCAGGGUGAGGCGUAAAACGCCGAAUCAAACCUUCGGUUCGACGACUGAGCAUAGCGAAGGAGAACGUCGCGCACUUUGCGACGGCCCGCAGGGCGAAGGCCAAAGGCCUGAGUAAUCCCUCCCUCUCCGCCA
RNAcentral lists this small RNA (144 nucleotides) under Ectothiorhodospiraceae bacterium. Its description in RNAcentral is "RtT sRNA". It matches the Rfam family "RtT RNA". From Rfam's summary of the family: This family represents a bacterial cis-regulatory element known as RtT RNA. The exact function of RtT is unknown although it is thought that it may be involved in changing the cellular response in relation to amino acid starvation. Lineage: Bacteria; Pseudomonadati; Pseudomonadota; Gammaproteobacteria; Chromatiales; Ectothiorhodospiraceae. RNAcentral also lists the same sequence under 1 other name. The record is from RNAcentral.